CGUAGGGGGCUAGCGUUGUCCGGAUUUAUUGGGCGUAAAGAGCGUGUAGGCGGCCGGAUAGGUCUGCUGUGAAAACUCGAGGCUCAACCUCGAGCUGUCGGCGGAAACCAUCCGGCUAGAGUCCGGAAGAGGAGAGUGGAAUUCCCGGUGUAGCGGUGAAAUGCGCAGAUAUCGGGAAGAACACCUGUGGCGAAGGCGGCUCUCUGGGACGGUACUGACGCUGAGACGCGAAAGCGUGGGGAGCAAACAGGAUUAGAUACCCUGGUAGUCCACGCCGUAAACGAUGGGUGCUAGGUGUGGGGAGUGUCGACUCUCUCCGUGCCGAAGCUAACGCAUUAAGCACCCCGCCUGGGGAGUACGGCCGCAAGGCUA
This 372-nucleotide ribosomal RNA is filed under the name uncultured organism. RNAcentral describes it as "bacterial SSU rRNA". It matches the Rfam family "Bacterial small subunit ribosomal RNA", at positions 526 to 896 of the family's 1533-position model. The record is from RNAcentral.